This is a non-coding RNA of Chiloscyllium plagiosum (whitespotted bambooshark), 370 nucleotides long. The record is from RefSeq and is a predicted model, not a curated record. Lineage: Eukaryota; Metazoa; Chordata; Chondrichthyes; Orectolobiformes; Hemiscylliidae.
ACAAUCAACUUGUCUUUCUGUACUUGCAGUUUGUUACACUGUAUAAAUCAUUGGACUUGCCCUCGGACUGGGAUCAUGAACGGUGCCAGGAGCGAACUUCAGCCUCCAGACCAGCCGCCGAUCGAGCAUUCCCCGACAGGCAGAAGGUACUUGAAAUUCGUUACACUAUAUAAGAGAGAGUUUUGUUCUGAACCGUUGGACUACCCUCGGACCGGGAUCACGGGUGGUGCCAGAAAUGAACCUAAGCCUCUAGACCAGCUGUCGAUGGAGGAUUCUCCAACGGGCAAAAAGAUGUGACUUAUUCUUUUUUUCUUCCCUUCUUUUUUCAUGUUUUUUUUUAUUUACUGAAUAAAUGUUCAUAUUAAGUAAA